CUACGAAAGGUGCAAGCGUUGUUCGGAUUUACUGGGCGUAAAGAGAGUGUAGGUGGUUUAUUAAGUCGGAUGUGAAAUCCCGGGGCUCAACCUCGGAACUGCAUUCGAUACUGAUAGGCUAGAGUUUGGGAGGGGUAAGCGGAAUUCCGUGUGUAGCAGUGAAAUGCGUAGAUAUACGGAGGAACACCUGAGGCGAAGGCGGCUUACUGGCCCAAUACUGACACUGAGACUCGAAAGCGUGGGUAGCAAACAGGAUUAGAUACCCCAGUAGUCC
RNAcentral lists this ribosomal RNA (274 nucleotides) under uncultured bacterium. RNAcentral's name for it is "partial 16S ribosomal RNA". It matches the Rfam family "Bacterial small subunit ribosomal RNA", at positions 523 to 796 of the family's 1533-position model. The record is from RNAcentral.